RNAcentral lists this ribosomal RNA (815 nucleotides) under uncultured bacterium. Its description in RNAcentral is "bacterial SSU rRNA". It matches the Rfam family "Bacterial small subunit ribosomal RNA", at positions 48 to 853 of the family's 1533-position model. The record is from RNAcentral.
UUAACACAUGCAAGUCGAGGGGAAACGACAUCGAAAGCUUGCUUUUGAUGGGCGUCGACCGGCGCACGGGUGAGUAACGCGUAUCCAACCUGCCCACCACUUGGGGAUAACCUUGCGAAAGUAAGACUAAUACCCAAUGAUAUCUCUAGAAGACAUCUGAAAGAGAUUAAAGAUUUAUCGGUGAUGGAUGGGGAUGCGUCUGAUUAGCUUGUUGGCGGGGUAACGGCCCACCAAGGCUACGAUCAGUAGGGGUUCUGAGAGGAAGGUCCCCCACAUUGGAACUGGGACACGGUCCAAACUCCUACGGGAGGCAGCAGUGAGGAAUAUUGGUCAAUGGACGAGAGUCUGAACCAGCCAAGUAGCGUGCAGGAUGACGGCCCUAUGGGUUGUAAACUGCUUUUAUAAGGGAAUAAAGUGAGUCUCGUGAGACUUUUUGCAUGUACCUUAUGAAUAAGGACCGGCUAAUUCCGUGCCAGCAGCCGCGGUAAUACGGAAGGUCCGGGCGUUAUCCGGAUUUAUUGGGUUUAAAGGGAGCGUAGGCCGGAGAUUAAGCGUGUUGUGAAAUGUAGAUGCUCAACAUCUGCACUGCAGCGCGAACUGGUUUCCUUGAGUACGCACAAAGUGGGCGGAAUUCGUGGUGUAGCGGUGAAAUGCUUAGAUAUCACGAAGAACUCCGAUUGCGAAGGCAGCUCACUGGAGCGCAACUGACGCUGAAGCUCGAAAGUGCGGGUAUCGAACAGGAUUAGAUACCCUGGUAGUCCGCACGGUAAACGAUGGAUGCCCGCUGUUGGUCUGAAUAGGUCAGCGGCCAAGCG